AAACACCUCUCGUACGAUCACCGAUGUUAAGCAACAUCGAGUCUGGUCAGUACUUCGAUGGGUGACCGUUUGGAAAUAACAGGUGUCAUA
Molecule: non-coding RNA, 90 nt
Organism: Acanthosepion pharaonis
Lineage: Eukaryota; Metazoa; Mollusca; Cephalopoda; Sepiida; Sepiidae
Source: the annotation of a GenBank genome assembly